UCAAGCGAAUAAGUGCAUGUGGUGGAUGCCUUGGCGAUUACAGGCGAUGAAGGACGUUGUAGCGUGCGAAAAGCUACGGGGAGCUCGCAAACAAGCUUUGAUCCGUAGAUGUCCGAAUGGGGAAACCCGGCCCGCAAGGGUCAUCCCAUCCUGAAUACAUAGGGAUGUGGAGGCGAACCCGGUGAACUGAAACAUCUAAGUAGCCGGAGGAAAAGAAAUCAACCGAGAUUCCCAGAGUAGUGGCGAGCGAAAUGGGACGAGCCUGUACGAUUUAACUACCGCGUUAUCAGAACGGUCUGGAAAGGCCGGCCAUAGUGGGUGAUAGCCCCGUAAGGAAAAACCCGGUAGCGGAACUAAGCGUACGACAAGUAGGGCGGGGCACGUGAAACCCUGUCUGAACAUGGGGGGACCAUCCUCCAAGGCUAAAUACUCGUAAUCGACCGAUAGUGAACCAGUACCGUGAGGGAAAGGCGAAAAGAACCCCGGGAGGGGAGUGAAAUAGAUCCUGAAACCGCAUGCAUACAAACAGUGGGAGCCCCUGCACAAAGAGUCUUUGGGGAUCUUUCGAGGAGCGUGGCGUAGCGACGCGACUCAAAAGAGCCAUAAGGAUGAAAUAGAUCUUUGGGCAGGCAAAAGAACCCGGAGGGUUCUUUGUGCAGGGGUGACUGCGUACCUUUUGUAUAAUGGGUCAGCGACUUACGUUCAGUAGCGAGCUUAACCGAAUAGGGGAGGCGUAGCGAAAGCGAGUCUGAUAAGGGCGACUUAGUUGCUGGGCGUAGACCCGAAACCGGAUGAUCUACCCAUGGCCAGGAUGAAGGUGGGGUAACACUCACUGGAGGUCCGAACCCACUAAUGUUGAAAAAUUAGGGGAUGAGCUGUGGGUAGGGGUGAAAGGCUAAACAAAUCCGGAAAUAGCUGGUUCUCUCCGAAAACUAUUUAGGUAGUGCCUCACGUAUCACUCUCGGGGGUAGAGCACUGUAAUGAUUGCGGGGGUCAUAGCGACUUACCGCGUCAUAGCAAACUCCGAAUACCGAGAAGUGCGAGCGUGGGAGACAGACGGUGGGUGCUAACGUCCAUCGUCGAGAGGGAAACAACCCAGACCGCCGGCUAAGGUCCCGAAGACAUGGUUAAGUGGAAAACGAAGUGGGAAGGCAUAGACAGUCAGGAGGUUGGCUUAGAAGCAGCCACCCUUUAAAGAAAGCGUAAUAGCUCACUGAUCGAGUCGUCCUGCGCGGAAGAUGUAACGGGGCUCAAACCAUGCACCGAAGCCGCGGAUAUCCGUAAGGAUAUGGUAGGAGAGCGUUCCGUAGGUCUGUGAAGGUGUCCUGAGAGGGAUGCUGGAGAUAUCGGAAGUGCGAAUGCUGACAUGAGUAGCGAUAAAGCGGGUGAAAGGCCCGCUCGCCGAAAGCCCAAGGUUUCCUGCGCAACGUUCAUCGGCGCAGGGUGAGUCGGCUCCUAAGGCGAGGCCGAAAGGCGUAGUCGAUGGGAAACAGGUUAAUAUUCCUGUACCGAUCUUGAAUGCGAUGGGGGGACGGAGAAGGUUAGGUUGGCCGGGUGUUGGACGUCCCGGUUUAAGCGUGUAGGCGUGCUGUCUAGGCAAAUCCGGACGGCUUAGCUAAGGCGUGAUGACGAGGACCUUCGGGUCUGAAGCAACUGAUACCAUGCUUCCAAGAAAAGCCUCUAAGCUUCAGUUCAAGAUUGACCGUACCGCAAACCGACACAGGUGGGCAGGAUGAAAAUUCUAAGGCGCUUGAGAGAACUCAGGAGAAGGAACUCGGCAAAUUGACACCGUAACUUCGGGAGAAGGUGUGCCUCGAUAAGGUGAAGGACCUCGCGUCUGGAGCCGUAAGGGGUUGCAAAGAAUCGGUGGCUGCGACUGUUUAAUAAAAACACAGCACUCUGCAAACACGAAAGUGGACGUAUAGGGUGUGACGCCUGCCCGGUGCCGGAAGGUUAAGUGAUGGGGUGCAAGCUCUUGAUCGAAGCCCCGGUAAACGGCGGCCGUAACUAUAACGGUCCUAAGGUAGCGAAAUUCCUUGUCGGGUAAGUUCCGACCUGCACGAAUGGCGUAACGAUGGCCACACUGUCUCCUCCUGAGACUCAGCGAAGUUGAAAUGUUUGUGAAGAUGCAAUCUCCCCGCGGCUAGACGGAAAGACCCCAUGAACCUUUACUGUAGCUUUGCAUUGGACUUUGACGGGACUUGUGUAGGAUAGGUGGGAGGCUGUGAGGCGUGGUCGCCAGAUCGCGCGGAGCCAUCCUUGAAAUACCACCCUGGUGUCGUUGAGGUUCUAACCUUGGUCCGUGAAUCCGGAUCGGGGACCGUGCAUGGCAGGCAGUUUGACUGGGGCGGUCUCCUCCUAAAGGGUAACGGAGGAGUUCGAAGGUCUCCUAGGUACGGUCGGACAUCGUACUGAUAGUGCAAUGGCAUAAGGAGGCUUGACUGCGAGACCGACAAGUCGAGCAGGUGCGAAAGCAGGACAUAGUGAUCCGGUGGUUCUGAAUGGAAGGGCCAUCGCUCAACGGAUAAAAGGUACUCUGGGGAUAACAGGCUGAUUCCUCCCAAGAGUUCAUAUCGACGGGGGAGUUUGGCACCUCGAUGUCGGCUCAUCACAUCCUGGGGCUGUAGCCGGUCCCAAGGGUAUGGCUGUUCGCCAUUUAAAGUGGUACGUGAGCUGGGUUUAAAACGUCGUGAGACAGUUUGGUCCCUAUCUGCCGUGGGCGCUGGAAGUUUGAGGGGGCCUGCUCCUAGUACGAGAGGACCGGAGUGGACGUACCCCUGGUGUACCGGUUGUCACGCCAGUGGCAUCGCCGGGUAGCUAUGUACGGAAGAGAUAAACGCUGAAAGCAUCUAAGCGUGAAACUCGCCUCAAGAUGAGACUUCCCGGGGGUUUAACCCCCCUAAAGGGUCGUUCAAGACCAGAACGUUGAUAGGUCAGGUGUGGAAGCGCAGUAAUGCGUUAAGCUAACUGAUACUAAUUGCCCGUGUGGCUUGAUCCU
This 2998-nucleotide ribosomal RNA is filed under the name mine drainage metagenome. Its description in RNAcentral is "bacterial LSU rRNA". It matches the Rfam family "Bacterial large subunit ribosomal RNA". The record is from RNAcentral.